AGUUAUCUGAACCUUCGGGGAACGAUAACGGCGUCGAGCGGCGGACGGGUGAGUAAUGCCUAGGAAAUUGCCCUGAUGUGGGGGAUAACCAUUGGAAACGAUGGCUAAUACCGCAUGAUGCCUACGGGCCAAAGAGGGGGACCUUCGGGCCUCUCGCGUCAGGAUAUGCCUAGGUGGGAUUAGCUAGUUGGUGAGGUAAGGGCUCACCAAGGCGACGAUCCCUAGCUGGUCUGAGAGGAUGAUCAGCCACACUGGAACUGAGACACGGUCCAGACUCCUACGGGAGGCAGCAGUGGGGAAUAUUGCACAAUGGGCGCAAGCCUGAUGCAGCCAUGCCGCGUGUGUGAAGAAGGCCUUCGGGUUGUAAAGCACUUUCAGUCGUGAGGAAGGCGGUGUCGUUAAUAGCGGCAUCGUUUGACGUUAGCGACAGAAGAAGCACCGGCUAACUCCGUGCCAGCAGCCGCGGUAAUACGGAGGGUGCGAGCGUUAAUCGGAAUUACUGGGCGUAAAGCGCAUGCAGGUGGUUUGUUAAGUCAGAUGUGAAAGCCCGGGGCUCAACCUCGGAAUAGCAUUUGAAACUGGCAGACUAGAGUACUGUAGAGGGGGGUAGAAUUUCAGGUGUAGCGGUGAAAUGCGUAGAGAUCUGAAGGAAUACCGGUGGCGAAGGCGGCCCCCUGGACAGAUACUGACACUCAGAUGCGAAAGCGUGGGGAGCAAACAGGAUUAGAUACCCUGGUAGUCCACGCCGUAAACGAUGUCUACUUGGAGGUUGUGGCCUUGAGCCGUGGCUUUCGGAGCUAACGCGUUAAGUAGACCGCCUGGGGAGUACGGUCGCAAGAUUAAAACUCAAAUGAAUUGACGGGGGCCCGCACAAGCGGUGGAGCAUGUGGUUUAAUUCGAUGCAACGCGAAGAACCUUACCUACUCUUGACAUCCAGAGAACUUUCCAGAGAUGGAUUGG
Molecule: ribosomal RNA, 960 nt
Filed under: Vibrio sp. HFJ55
Lineage: Bacteria; Pseudomonadati; Pseudomonadota; Gammaproteobacteria; Vibrionales; Vibrionaceae
Description: bacterial SSU rRNA
Rfam family: Bacterial small subunit ribosomal RNA
Source: RNAcentral